CCAUUAGACGUUCUGGGCCGCACGCGCGCUACACUGACCAGUGCAACAAGCAUCCGUCCUUGGCCGACAGGCUCGGGCAAUCUUUGAACGCUGGUCGUGAUGGGGAUAGACUUUUGCAAUUUUUGGUCUUCAACGAGGAAUUCCUAGUAAACGCAAGUCAUCAACUUGCAUUGAUUACGUCCCUGCCCUUUGUACACACCGCCCGUCGCACCUACCGAUUGAAUGGUCCGGUGAAGCCUCCGGAUUGGCGCGCACCUCGGUGCCGCCGAGAAGUUGGCUAAACCUUACCAUUUAGAGGAAGGUGAAGUCGUAACA
This 315-nucleotide ribosomal RNA is filed under the name uncultured eukaryote. Its description in RNAcentral is "partial 18S ribosomal RNA". It matches the Rfam family "Eukaryotic small subunit ribosomal RNA", at positions 1470 to 1796 of the family's 1831-position model. The record is from RNAcentral.